RNAcentral lists this ribosomal RNA (497 nucleotides) under uncultured bacterium. RNAcentral's name for it is "partial 16S ribosomal RNA". It matches the Rfam family "Bacterial small subunit ribosomal RNA", at positions 28 to 507 of the family's 1533-position model. The record is from RNAcentral.
GAUGAACGCUGGCGGCGUGCCUAAUACAUGCAAGUCGAGCGAACAGAUAAGGAGCUUGCUCCUUUGACGUUAGCGGCGGACGGGUGAGUAACACGUGGGUAACCUACCUAUAAGACUGGGAUAACUUCGGGAAACCGGAGCUAAUACCGGAUAAUAUUUCGAACCGCAUGGUUCGAUAGUGAAAGAUGGUUUUGCUAUCACUUAUAGAUGGACCCGCGCCGUAUUAGCUAGUUGGUAAGGUAACGGCUUACCAAGGCGACGAUACGUAGCCGACCUGAGAGGGUGAUCGGCCACACUGGAACUGAGACACGGUCCAGACCCCUACGGGAGGCAGCAGUAGGGAAUCUUCCGCAAUGGGCGAAAGCCUGACGGAGCAACGCCGCGUGAGUGAUGAAGGUCUUCGGAUCGUAAAACUCUGUUAUUAGGGAAGAACAUACGUGUAAGUAACUGUGCACGUCUUGACGGUACCUAAUCAGAAAGCCACGGCUAACUACGUG